AGAGUAGUAGCUCAGGAGGUUAGAGCGUCAGAUUUUAAAGUUAGUUUUAUGAUUAUCUUUCAAAUAAAGGUCAAAUGAAACUUACUUCUUUUUAAAGUCCAAUCUGAAGGUCGCUGGUUCGAGUCCAGCCUGCUCUA
Molecule: transfer RNA, 137 nt
Filed under: Spirosomataceae bacterium
Lineage: Bacteria; Pseudomonadati; Bacteroidota; Cytophagia; Cytophagales; Spirosomataceae
Description: tRNA-OTHER
Rfam family: tRNA
About the family: Transfer RNA (tRNA) molecules are approximately 80 nucleotides in length. Their secondary structure includes four short double-helical elements and three loops (D, anti-codon, and T loops).
Source: RNAcentral